Molecule: ribosomal RNA, 389 nt
Filed under: uncultured bacterium
Lineage: Bacteria
Description: bacterial SSU rRNA
Rfam family: Bacterial small subunit ribosomal RNA
Source: RNAcentral
AUUGAACGCUGGCGGCAUGCCUUACACAUGCAAGUCGAACGGCAGCACGGGAGCAAUCCUGGUGGCGAGUGGCGAACGGGUGAGUAAUAUAUCGGAACGUGCCCAGUCGUGGGGAUAAUGUAGCGAAAGCUACGCUAAUACCGCAUACGAUCUACGGAUGAAAGCGGGGGAUCGCAAGACCUCGCGCGAUUGGAGCGGCCGAUAUCAGAUUAGGUAGUUGGUGAGGUAAAGGCUCACCAAGCCGACGAUCUGUAGCUGGUCUGAGAGGACGACCAGCCACACUGGGACUGAGACACGGCCCAGACUCCUACGGGAGGCAGCAGUGGGGAAUUUUGGACAAUGGGCGCAAGCCUGAUCCAGCAAUGCCGCGUGCAGGAUGAAGGCCUCGG